This is a transfer RNA of Dictyostelium discoideum AX4, 72 nucleotides long. It matches the Rfam family "tRNA". Rfam says of the family: Transfer RNA (tRNA) molecules are approximately 80 nucleotides in length. Their secondary structure includes four short double-helical elements and three loops (D, anti-codon, and T loops). Further hydrogen bonds mediate the characteristic L-shaped molecular structure. tRNAs have two regions of fundamental functional importance: the anti-codon, which is responsible for specific mRNA codon recognition, and the 3' end, to which the tRNAs corresponding amino acid is attached (by aminoacyl-tRNA synthetases). tRNAs cope with the degeneracy of the genetic code in two manners: having more than one tRNA (with a specific anti-codon) for a particular amino acid; and 'wobble' base-pairing, i.e. permitting non-standard base-pairing at the 3rd anti-codon position. The record is from Rfam. NCBI's taxonomy places the organism in Eukaryota, Evosea, Eumycetozoa, Dictyosteliales, Dictyosteliaceae.
UCCUCUUUGGUGUAGUCGGUAACACUCUAGUCUCUCACACUGGUACCCCGGGUUCGAUUCCCGGAAGGGGAG